ACGCUCGACACCUACGGGAGGCAGCAGUGAGGAAUAUUGGUCAAUGGGCGCUAGCCUGAACCAGCCAAGUAGCGUGAAGGAUGAAGGCUCUAUGGGUCGUAAACUUCUUUUAUAUAAGAAUAAAGUGCAGUAUGUAUACUGUUUUGUAUGUAUUAUAUGAAUAAGGAUCGGCUAACUCCGUGCCACAGCCGCGGUAAUCUGAGCGGCGUGGCAAGGC
This 217-nucleotide ribosomal RNA is filed under the name uncultured bacterium. Its description in RNAcentral is "partial 16S ribosomal RNA". It matches the Rfam family "Bacterial small subunit ribosomal RNA", at positions 328 to 544 of the family's 1533-position model. The record is from RNAcentral.